This is a long non-coding RNA of Magnolia sinica, 343 nucleotides long. RefSeq lists it as uncharacterized. Lineage: Eukaryota; Viridiplantae; Streptophyta; Magnoliopsida; Magnoliales; Magnoliaceae. The record is from RefSeq and is a predicted model, not a curated record. The transcript has 2 exons.
AUGGGAUGGUUGUGUUCGGCGGUGUAGGUAAUGAUGAAGGUGGUUGGAUCGGACCGGCUCCGCUCCACCUGCUUCCUCGCCAAGCAUCCUUUGGAGCUGCUGCACCUGUAAUAACCUCUGUAGAGAGAGAGAGAGAUACCUUGGAUAAGGGGAGCCCUUGAUGGGUUUUUGCCCGUACUUGCGCCAUGCCCACAUGUCGGAAGAAAGGCCCUCAGCGGGUACCUGGCAAACCACCCUCUUCUGCUGGUUCUUCCUGUAAAAUAAAUAAAUAGACAUGAGUGAGAUGAGAAGAUUGGAGCUUGUGUAAGAGAAAUCAGAGGUAAAAAAGAAAAGAAAAAGUAAA